UGCAUCGGCCGGGAAUCGAACCGCCCGCGUGGCAGGCGAGCAUUCUACCACUGAACCACCGAUGG
This 65-nucleotide transfer RNA is filed under the name Cordylochernes scorpioides. RNAcentral describes it as "tRNA-Gly". The record is from RNAcentral. Lineage: Eukaryota; Metazoa; Arthropoda; Arachnida; Pseudoscorpiones; Chernetidae.